RNAcentral lists this ribosomal RNA (427 nucleotides) under uncultured bacterium. Its description in RNAcentral is "bacterial SSU rRNA". It matches the Rfam family "Bacterial small subunit ribosomal RNA", at positions 354 to 796 of the family's 1533-position model. The record is from RNAcentral.
GUGGGGAAUAUUGGGCAAUGGGCGCAAGCCUGACCCAGCAACGCCGCGUGAAGGAAGAAGGCUUUCGGGUUGUAAACUUCUUUUAAGAGGGAAGAGAAGAAGACGGUACCUCUUGAAUAAGCCACGGCUAACUACGUGCCAGCAGCCGCGGUAAUACGUAGGUGGCAAGCGUUGUCCGGAUUUACUGGGUGUAAAGGGCGUGCAGCCGGGAAGACAAGUCAGAUGUGAAAUCCCGCGGCUCAACCGCGGAACUGCAUUUGAAACUGUAUUUCUUGAGUACCGGAGAGGUCAUCGGAAUUCCUUGUGUAGCGGUGAAAUGCGUAGAUAUAAGGAAGAACACCAGUGGCGAAGGCGGAUGACUGGACGGCAACUGACGGUGAGGCGCGAAAGCGUGGGGAGCAAACAGGAUUAGAAACCCUAGUAGUCC